GACGAACGCUGGCGGCGUGCCUAAUACAUGCAAGUCGAACGCUGAAGAGAGGAGCUUGCUCUUCGUGGAUGAGUUUCGCACGGGGGAGUAACACGUAGGUAACCUGCCUUGUAUCGGGGGAUAACUAUGUGAAACGAUAGCUAAUACCGCAUAACAAUAGAUGACACAUCUCAUUUAUUUGAAAGGGGCAAUUUCUCCACUACAAGAUGGACCUGCGUUGUAUUAGCUAGUAGGUGAGGUAAUGGCUCACCUAGGCGACGAUACCUAGCCGACCUGAGAGGGUGGUGGGCGACACUGGGAACGAGACGAGGGCCAGACGGCUCCGGGAGGCAGCAGUAGGGGCUCUUGGGAAAAGGGGGCAAUGCGGGCCGAGCAAAGCCGCGUGAGUGACGAAGGUUUUCGGAUCGUACAGCUCGGUUGUCAGUCAAGCACGGGGGUGAGAGUGGAAAGUUCACAUUGUGACGGUAGCUGAUAAGAAAGGGACGGCUAACUACGUG
This 497-nucleotide ribosomal RNA is filed under the name uncultured bacterium. RNAcentral's name for it is "partial 16S ribosomal RNA". It matches the Rfam family "Bacterial small subunit ribosomal RNA", at positions 28 to 507 of the family's 1533-position model. The record is from RNAcentral.